RNA transcript from Solea solea (common sole), 1284 nucleotides. It is a transcript of the gene named nucleoporin 35, with no coding region annotated. NCBI's taxonomy places the organism in Eukaryota, Metazoa, Chordata, Actinopteri, Pleuronectiformes, Soleidae. The transcript has 10 exons. The record is from RefSeq and is a predicted model, not a curated record.
GCACUGCUAACAAACACGAGUGAACGCAGAUAUAAGAUAAGACAUUUUAACUGUCACGUUUUAAAUCACUUUUAUGACACUUAACUAGGUUUUUUCCCUAAAGUUGCCGCUUCGGUUUAGUGAGCUUUAAAGUGUCAGUGAGUUUCAGAGUGACGGCUCUUCUUAGCGCUUGUUAGCUGUGCUAGCCGUGUUAGCUCGUUAGCCCGGCGUCAUUUCCUUUGGUUUGAAAAUCGCGGCCACGAAGAAAACGAAGCAGCGAUGGAACUACAAGUGGGGACUGAACCCAUGACCCUUGGCUCUCCCACGUCAACCAAGACAAACCCCGGGGCCCAGUUCCUGCCCGGCUUCCUCAUGGGUGACCUUCCUGCUCCGGCGAGCCCGCAGCCCCGCCCCUUCAGCCUGACCAUGCCCCUCAUGGAGAGCACAGGUACGCCGCGAGGCGGAGGAAGUGGAGGAGGAGGAGGCUCCGCCCCUCAGCCUGUCAUCCCCACCCCUAAAGAUAAAAGUGGAGCCCCGCCUGUUCGCAGUAUCCGCGACGACCUGGUGUGUGUGGGGACACCGCUCAGUGCACACAGGACGUCUUUUUCAGUCAUGCAGUCUCCUCUGUCUGUACGACAGGGUACUCCAGGAAAUACUACAGGUUUGCAGCAGGCGUGUUUGUCUCCAGCUCAGGUCGAUCCGUUCUACAGUCAGGGAGAAUCUUUGUCAUCUGAAGAUCAACUGGACCAGACCUGGGUCACUGUGUUUGGUUUCCCUCCCGCGUCCGCCUCGUACAUCCUGCUGCAGUUUGCUCAGUACGGAAACAUCCUGAAACACAAGAUGGCGUCUCCUGGUAACUGGAUGCAUCUUCAGUAUCAGUCCAAGCUUCAGGCGAAGAAAGCUCUGUCCAAGGAUGGAAAAGUGUUUGGAGACGCCAUCAUGGUGGGAGUGAAGCCCUGUAUAGACAAGAGUGUGAUGGACAGCAGCGAGGCCGACUCCUCCCCCUUCUCCUCGUCCAUGUGCUCCUCCUCCGUCCUCCCGUCCACGCCUCGCUCCGCCAUCAGACCGCUCAGCUCCGCCUACAGGAGCUCCACCGGAGACUUCCAGGUGGUGUCAGACAGACAGACGCCCAGGAAGGACGACAGCUUAGUUUCCAAAGCAAUGGAAUACAUGUUCGGCUGGUGACGUCACCCAGUGCAUCAUGGGAUACAUGCGGAGAAUCUGAGGACGAACGACAUGAGUUUACUACUCUGUGUGUGUGAGACUGUACAUGACUGUGUGUGUGUGUGUGUGAGAGACUGUACA